GGAGAUAGCUCAGUGGUAGAGUGCAUACUAGCAUGCAUGAGGUCCUGGGUUCAAUCCCCAGUACCUCCA
Molecule: transfer RNA, 69 nt
Filed under: Camelus bactrianus (Bactrian camel)
Lineage: Eukaryota; Metazoa; Chordata; Mammalia; Artiodactyla; Camelidae
Also listed under: 3 other names
Rfam family: tRNA
About the family: Transfer RNA (tRNA) molecules are approximately 80 nucleotides in length. Their secondary structure includes four short double-helical elements and three loops (D, anti-codon, and T loops).
Source: Rfam by way of RNAcentral